AGGCGGUUGAUAAGUCAGCGGUGAAAUAUUCAGCUUAACUGGAAGGGUGCCGUUGAUACUGUCAGGCUUGAAUUUAGUUGCUGUGGGUGGAAUGUGUGGUGUAGCGGUGAAAUGCAUAGAUAUCACACAGAAUAUCGAUUGCGAAGGCAGCUCACAAAGCUAACAUUGACGCUGAUGCACGAAAGUGUGGGGAUCAAACAGGAUUAGAUACCCUGGUAGUCCACACUGUAAACGAUGAUAACUCGCUGUCGGCGAUACAUAGUUGGUGGCCAAGCGAAAGCGAUAAGUUAUCCACCUGGGGAGUACGACCGCAAGGUUGAAACUCAAAGGAAUUGACGGGGGCCCGCACAAGCGGAGGAACAUGUGGUUUAAUUCGAUGAUACGCGAGGAACCUUACCCGGGCUCGAACGGUGCAUGAAUGAUUCAGAGAUGGAUCAGUCCUUCGGGACAUGUAUCGAGGUGCUGCAUGGUUGUCGUCAGCUCGUGCCGUGAGGUGUCGGCUUAAGUGCCAUAACGAGCGCAACCCUUGUCGUUAGUUACCAUCAAGUAAUGUUGGGGACUCUAGCGAGACUGCCACCGUAAGGUGUGAGGAAGGGGGGGAUGACGUCAAAUCAGCACGGCCCUUACGUCCGGGGCGACACACGUGUUACAAUGGUAGGUACAGAGGGCAGCUACCCAGUGAUGGGGUGCGAAUCUCAAAAACCUAUCUCAGUUCGGAUUGGAGUCUGCAACUCGACUCCAUGAAGUUGGAUUCGCUAGUAAUCGCGCAUCAGCCAUGGCGCGGUGAAUACGUUCCCGGGCCUUGUACACACCGCCCGUCAAGCCAUGGAAGCCGGGGGUGCCUGAAGUUCGUGACCGCAAGGAGCGACCUAGGGCAAAACUGGUAACUGGGGCUAAGUCGUAACAAGGUAACC
Molecule: ribosomal RNA, 914 nt
Filed under: uncultured bacterium
Lineage: Bacteria
Description: bacterial SSU rRNA
Rfam family: Bacterial small subunit ribosomal RNA
Source: RNAcentral